CGGGAUUUAGCGCAGUUGGUAGCGCACUCGUCUGGGGGGCGCGAGGUCGCUGGUUCGAGUCCAGUAAUCCCGA
This 73-nucleotide transfer RNA is filed under the name Caudoviricetes sp. RNAcentral's name for it is "tRNA-Pro". It matches the Rfam family "tRNA". From Rfam's summary of the family: Transfer RNA (tRNA) molecules are approximately 80 nucleotides in length. Their secondary structure includes four short double-helical elements and three loops (D, anti-codon, and T loops). Further hydrogen bonds mediate the characteristic L-shaped molecular structure. tRNAs have two regions of fundamental functional importance: the anti-codon, which is responsible for specific mRNA codon recognition, and the 3' end, to which the tRNAs corresponding amino acid is attached (by aminoacyl-tRNA synthetases). tRNAs cope with the degeneracy of the genetic code in two manners: having more than one tRNA (with a specific anti-codon) for a particular amino acid; and 'wobble' base-pairing, i.e. permitting non-standard base-pairing at the 3rd anti-codon position. Lineage: Duplodnaviria; Heunggongvirae; Uroviricota; Caudoviricetes. The record is from RNAcentral.